AGAGUUUGAUCAUGGCUCAGAUUGAACGCUGGCGGUAUGCUUAACACAUGCAAGUCGAACGGUAACAGUCCCUCACCUAGAAAUUUCUUAAAAAGAGAUUUGUAGGUGAGGGAGCUGACGAGUGGCGGACGGGCGCGUAAUGUAUAGGAAUCUGCCUGGUAGUGGGGGACAACUCGGAGAAAUUCGAGCUAAUACCGCAUAAGCCCUACGGGGGAAAACGGGGGAUCUUCGGACCUCGUGCUAUUAGAUGAGCCUAUAUUAGAUUAGCUUGUUGGUGAGGUAAUGGCUUACCAAGGCGACGAUCUAUAGCUGGUCUGAGAGGAUGAUCAGCCACACUGGGACUGAGACACGGCCCAGACUCCUACGGGAGGCAGCAGUGGGGAAUAUUGGACAAUGGGCGAAAGCCUGAUCCAGCAAUACCGCGUGUGUGAAGAAGGCCUGAGGGUUGUAAAGCACUUUCAAUUGGGAGGAAUACCUAAUAGUUAAUAGCUAUUAGAUUGACA
Molecule: ribosomal RNA, 503 nt
Filed under: uncultured bacterium
Lineage: Bacteria
Description: bacterial SSU rRNA
Rfam family: Bacterial small subunit ribosomal RNA
Source: RNAcentral